GAUGAACGCUGGCGGCGCGCCUAACACAUGCAAGUCGAACGAUUAAAGCACCUUCGGGUGUGUAUAAAGUUGCGAACGGCUGAGUAACACAUGGGCAACCUGCCCCUUUCAUUGGGAUAGCUACGUUAAACCGUGGAUAAUACCUAAUACUUCGAGACUUCCGCAUGGAAGACUCGAGAAAGCUCCGGCGGUAAGGGUUGGGCCCGCGGCCUGUUAGCUUGUUGUUGGGGUAACGGCAUAUCAAGGCAAUGAUGGGUAGCUGUGGUUAGAGAUCGACCAGCGAGAUUAGGACUGAGACAGGGAGCAGGAUCCUACGGGAGGCAGCAGUGGGGAAUCUGGCACAGCAGGGGAAAGCGUGUGGCAGAGGUCCUGGGUGCGGGAUGAAGGCCUUUGAGUUGAAAACCGCUUUCAACAGGGACGAGGCGGAAGUGACGGUACCUGCAGAAAAAGCCACGGCUAACUACGUG
This 467-nucleotide ribosomal RNA is filed under the name uncultured bacterium. Its description in RNAcentral is "partial 16S ribosomal RNA". It matches the Rfam family "Bacterial small subunit ribosomal RNA", at positions 28 to 507 of the family's 1533-position model. The record is from RNAcentral.